RNAcentral lists this long non-coding RNA (425 nucleotides) under Nicotiana benthamiana. Its description in RNAcentral is "long non-coding RNA (NBEN_LNC028535)". Lineage: Eukaryota; Viridiplantae; Streptophyta; Magnoliopsida; Solanales; Solanaceae. The record is from RNAcentral.
UUGUACCGUCUAGUGUUCCUUCUCAUUAUCAAGACAAAUGAAAAGGUUGUGCAUGCAAGAAAGACAUCCACAUCAAUUCUAUCAAACCGAAGUAAUCAAAUCAUGGCCAAGUCCCUACCUGCCUCGCCUCUCCAUGGAGUCACCUCAUUUAAUGACAGCCCCACCAUCAAUGGAUGAGUUAGUAGUUCAUCCCUCACAAUUUAACACUAUGUUUGGGAUGUUGUUUCACAUUGUUUCAUAAUGUAUUUUUGUAAUGCAGUAGUCAAAUCAUGGCCAAGUCCCUACCUGCCUCGCCUCUCCAUGGAAUCGCUUCAUUUGAUGACAGUCCCAACAACAAUGGAUGAGUUAGUAGUAUGUUACUCACGAUUUAACACUAUGUUUAGGUUGUUAUUUCACAUUGUUUCAUAAUGUAUUUCUGUAGCGUA